RNAcentral lists this ribosomal RNA (764 nucleotides) under uncultured bacterium. RNAcentral describes it as "bacterial SSU rRNA". It matches the Rfam family "Bacterial small subunit ribosomal RNA", at positions 54 to 824 of the family's 1533-position model. The record is from RNAcentral.
AACGGAGAUUAUACGCAGAGGCGAUUUCGGUCAAAUCAUGUCAAUUCUUAGUGGCGGACGGGUGAGUAACGCGUGGGUAACCUGCCUUACACUGGGGGAUAACACUUAGAAAUAGGUGCUAAUACCGCAUAAGCGCACGAAGCCGCAUGGAUUUGUGUGAAAAACUCCGGUGGUGUAAGAUGGACCCGCGUCUGAUUAGCUUGUUGGCGGGGUAACGGCCCACCAAGGCGACGAUCAGUAGCCGGCCUGAGAGGGUGGACGGCCACAUUGGGACUGAGACACGGCCCAAACUCCUACGGGAGGCAGCAGUGGGGGAUAUUGGACAAUGGGGGGAACCCUGAUCCAGCGACGCCGCGUGAGUGAAGAAGUAUUUCGGUAUGUAAAGCUCUGUCAGCAGGGAAGAAAGAAAUGACGGUACCUGACCAAGAAGCCCCGGCUAACUACGUGCCAGCAGCCGCGGUAAUACGUAGGGGGCAAGCGUUAUCCGGAAUUACUGGGUGUAAAGGGAGCGUAGACGGUUAAGUAAGUCUGGAGUGAAAGGCCGGGGCCCAACCCCGGGACUGCUCUGGAAACUAUUGAACUUGAGUGCAGGAGAGGUAAGCGGAAUUCCUAGUGUAGCGGUGAAAUGCGUAGAUAUUAGGAGGAACACCAGUGGCGAAGGCGGCUUACUGGACUGUAACUGACGUUGAGGCUCGAAAGCGUGGGGAGCAAACAGGAUUAGAUACCCUGGUAGUCCACGCCGUAAACGAUGAUUACUAGGUGUC